Long non-coding RNA from Alligator mississippiensis (American alligator), 10397 nucleotides. RefSeq lists it as uncharacterized. The transcript is spliced from 2 exons. Lineage: Eukaryota; Metazoa; Chordata; Crocodylia; Alligatoridae. The record is from RefSeq and is a predicted model, not a curated record.
UGGCUUGAUUGGGAGAAUCUGGUAAUACAGCCACCCUCCCUGCUGCCAAAUUUCCUCGGAGCCACUCUUAUUUAAUGCCCCCCACCCCCGGAGCACGUGUAUAAACGCCCAAUUCGAGAGCCAACAUGGAUGCACUAAGCUGAAAACUCAGAGACGUUGGAAAGGAGCUCUGAAGCACCAGGGCACAUCUGGAGCAUUUCCCCCACGCUGAGGCUGCAGGAAACACCUGUGCAGCGUGUCGUUUCACAAGGUGAUAUACUCGACCAGGGCUGCCGCUUUUUAUAGACUGCUUUACUGGAAAGCAGGCCUAGCGAUCGCUGGCCAGCUGUGCAGCGGGCACGCAUUUUGUAUUAGCGCUGGUUCGGCUGUACGAACUGGAAAUAUGUCCUGCAGGUACCUCUAAAGGGACGAUGCUUAUUCAUGAACAGCCCCAGACUGGGGUGCGGGACAGGCUGGGAGGAGAUUCCCUUCCAGCAGCAAGGUGUUUUAAACUGGUUUAUGUAGAGACUACUUCAGUAUCCCGCCUGGCUCAGUCACCUCUAAGGCCUGAAGCUCAGGUCUGAAAGGAUGUCUUGGUUUAAAAAAUAUGCAUCUUCUGGUCUAGGACAGCUGGCAUAAGUGAUGUAGGACAGCUGGCAGGUGGUAAACUGAGGCUGUUCUGCUCCCACGCUGAAACGUCCAGGGGGUCCUGUUAGCCUCCAAAGGCACCAACCUAUUUAUGCCUGACCCGACCCCCCGGUGUCCCCUGUGACUACUCCUGCCCCUCCAGGGACUCUUGAGACUCCUAACCCAGGUCUGAGAGACAGCUCCAGGCACCUACCAGCCCCACAUGAAGCAGGAAGUGCAAGCAACUCCUCUAAGGGAGACAGGAAAAUUUCCACGAUAAAUGCUGGACAGAAAAUGGGGUCUUUACUUCACUGCUUCUGCUGAAAAUCUGCAGCGUUUCUAUCUAAAAAUGCUGCCAUAAUGCCUCGGGGGAGCUGCGCUCAGGUUUCCAUCCAUUCCCAGUCUCUCUUAUGGGCUUCAUCCUCUCAAGCAGGGGAAGAAGGGAGGAAGCCAUGGGUACUGUGGGAAAUGUAGGCUGACCUGGGAGCCCAGCCUAUCAGCCUGUGGGAACAUAAUGUGCCUGAACUACAACCCCACAUCAGGGUUUCCAAAAUCUUAGAUGAAAAUGGAAAUGUCCAAAUAGCCAAGGAGAACAAAGAAACCCCAAAAGAACAAAAUUUCCCAUGGGGAAAAAACAUAAAAAGUUAUUUUUGACCAGUUCUACUAACUCUACCGCAGCAAAGCGGGCUCCGAAAUGCUCUUGGAGAACAGUUUUUGGACAAGAUUUGGAACGAUAAAAAGCCUUUGCUGUUAGUAAGAAAAAUAUUCCAAUGGCACGUUGCGAAAGUUGAUAGGGAAAUUUCCUACGGCAGACAUCCAAAGCAAACACAAAUCCAUAACUGAGCCUCCCUUAAAAAGGCAGAUACAGGGCUUGUACUCGUCUUAAAAAGCAAUUUGAUAUUUGACUGCUGAAGGUGUUGCAGGGAGUCCUGGCUCUGCUGAAGUUACCACAAAACAACCCAGGAGCGGACUCCAAGCACUGCUGUUACUGAAGCAAGAGCGAGAUCCACAAAUUAAGGGGUGACUAUUAAAGCCAAUCUUGAUGCAGGUAGCUGAGAAUACAUCAGGAAGGAAGAAAAGCACCGUGAAGAAAGACUGCAUCUCAGGUGCUGAAGCCAACUGAGAACAGAAGGAAAGCAGACCAAGGGAUGAUCAAAGCUGGGAAAACAAAUCCAAAAAUAAGUCCGACAACUUAUACUGCCUAUAAGUUCAUCACGGGGGCACAGAAGGGAAUUGGUGAGUAUUUAUUCACCAAGGCGCCCCCGGGGGUUACAAGAAACAAUGGCCAGAAGCUAGCAGAGAGCAGAUUUAGACUGGACAUUAGGAAGAACUUCUUCACAGUUCGAGUGGCCAAGGUCUGGAACGGGCUCCCAAGGGAGGUGGUGCUCUCCCCUACCCUGGGGGUCUUCAAGAGGAGGUUGGAUGAGUAUCUAGCUGGGGUCAUCUAGACCCAGCACUCUUUCCUGCCUAUGCAGGGGGUCAGACUCGAUGAUCUAUUGAGGUCCCUUCUGACCCUAACAUCUAUGAAUCUAUAAGGACUGAGCUCUCGACAGCAGAGAGCAGCAGAAAAGAGAAUAUUAGUUAUUCAUAUUGCCCUGGCACCCAGGAUAAGAUGUCACAUGUAAGAAGCUAAUGCGAGUGUAACGACUGCUCCUGGCUUAUGUGUGCAAAAUGAUUAACCCAGCUGCACAACGUCCCGGUGCAGCCGCUGUCACAAGCAACCUGCAAUUAUCCCCGCAAACCCCGACUCAAAAAAGGAAAGGCAGAGGAGUCCAAUUGUUGCCAACUCUGUGCUGGCCAACACGAACGACUGCUCUUUCUCUUCCCGGCCAAGAAUAGAAAGCUGCCCCUGCUGUGCUUGUUCCCUCCGCUCUUGUGAGCCAGCAGCACACUGGAAGUGAUGGGGGUCUUUGCUCGCAGGGCCAUCGAGAGAGGCGGCUUGCAACGAAUUUAGCAUUCUAGCUGCUCACGGGACUGGGAGUAUGGCUGAAGGGAGAGGCUUAGGAGACAGAGCGUUGCCUGGGUCCGAUUCUCACCGCCGUAUAUUGUCAGCAUGAAACACGAGAAAGUGUGCAUUUAUGUUGUCAGUGUGCCGUACAAGCGUGCCUCAUACCUAGGCAGCAUGAAAUGCGAGAAGGUGUGCAUUGAGCCAUAAGUCAACCUCAGUCUUGGCUCCCCUCCCCACGGUCAUCCCUCGCUGCUCAAGCCGGCUCCAAAAGCUGAGAUGGGAUGGGGAGGAGAGAGAAAGAUAGGCCUGUCGAGCACUUCUCCCUCUUCCACCUUCUCUCUGCCCUCCAAACCCUCCUGCACAGGCUGGAAGAUGGGGACUGUCCAUGCACAAGAGCCAGUUCUCAGAGCUGCGACUCUUCAGGUCUCGCCGCUUCCUGUUCUCUGAUGGAAGGAGGAAAAACAAUGAUCCCGAGCCAAACCUUUGCUAUCUGAGAGGCUGCUGCUGCUUCCUUGUAGGGAUGGGUGAGAAGGGACAGGGACCUCGGGGAGGCUGGAGCAGUAGAUGACACCAGAAGACCAGUGCUGGCCUCAGCAGGGAGAUCAUCUAUUCAACCCAGGCUGUUCUUUGCAGGGCAAGGCAGAGCUAUUUUCUUGCUGGUGCUAAAGACCCCGUGGAGUCAGAGCCAGCCCUUCACGUCAGACAGGAGCUGAACCUGGGGCGAGCCAGGGCUAAGGGCUGGUAGGUAAAUGCCCAGAGGACCAAAGGCCUACAGGCUGUCGCUGCACAGCAGCCUUGCAUGGACACAUCAGAGCCCCCAGACCUAUUUCUUCCUUCCCUCUCCUCGCAGCCAGCAUGGGAGGUGGUGCUACCAGCUUGAGAGGAGGUGGCUCGGAUGGAAAUUUUCAACUGGAACAAAAUCAAAUGUUUUAAAAAUCCACUGGGACGCCAGGGCAGUUCCAACCGGCAGCUUUAUGUACACCAGCAAACGUCCCUGCUCCGUGCUCACCUGAUGGCUGGAAGGAGCCCCAGGCAUCUGGACGGGUGCAGAAUAGCAAAAGGAGGAACCGUUUAAAGGUGACGACAGUGGAAAAGCAGUCAGUCCAGGUCAAGUCCCAGGCAGGGAGAGAGUGCAGCUGAGCAAAGCUGAAGGUAUAUUUUUAACCUGAAAUCGGGGCACCGAAGGCGGCAGGACCUGGAAGUGCUUACCGCUGUCUGAGCGCCCCUGCUGGGUUUUGUGGUUUUACAGCCCUGCUCCCACGCUGUAAGAAGUGCAAGGAUUUCUUUCCACUCUGGGUGCAAUGCACCGUCCAGGAAGGGCAGGGUUCCCCUCUCUGCGGGCCUGCCUGGCGAAUGGAGACCUCCUGGGCCACAGGCUUUGGAGAAGAGAAAGCGGGGAGACCCUUUCCCACUGCUCAGACUCGGACCCUUUCCCCAGGCAGGCACAAUGCCUGCAACAGGGCUUCACAGGUUUCUCUGCAGGCCCAGACAUGCUUCAGGGCAGGGCACCGUGAGAGCGCCCUGCUUUGGAGAGAAGCCCGAAACCCUCCCUGAGGCUGGGAAGGCAAAGGAGAGACAGUUUAAACCCUUGUUUACACGGCUUGCUAACAGGCAACAACAGGAACUGCCGGCUUAGAGAGGAGACGCCUGCUUUUUACUGGGGGGUGUCCCUGUGCAAGAUUUACCCCGGGCUGUGAGCACUUCUCAUCUCCCUGGGAGUCUUCAACCUCUGGCAGAGCCUUUCCAGGGAGGAGAUGCAGCAGAGAUGCAGCGCAGAGCUGGUAGGGGAGCACGAAGUCCCAGCCGCCGGUCCGACUCCAACCCGCCCGUGGCAGCGAAGUGAGGAUUAAUGACUCGUGGCAGCACCCUCCUCCGCGAAGCUCCUGCAGAGAGCUCCAACAGGCCUCCAUCCUGGGGAUGGCUCAGUGUUUACAGGGCUUUUUCCAAUACUCCGACCCGGACGAUCUGCCGGAGAGGUGCCGUAAUCAGGGAACCAGAGCAUUCGACUCUCAUUGCUUCGGUGACUCUGGAGCCGAGGAUGGGGGGGAGCAGGCCAAGGAUGGGAAACAAAGAUGCUAUGAAGAUUAAAGAUUUAUAAACCCAAGCCGCUCGCGGUGAUGUAACUGCCAACCUGUUCCACUGGUGGAUGCAGAAAUCCUGGUGCUCCGAGCUAACGAGAGCAGGGCUUCGCCCUGGAUCAUCCAGCAACAAGUUUGCUUCUGAAUCCCAGAGGCAAGAUUAUGAAAGAGAAGGGGAGCAGUGCAGCAGGACGUGAAUGCCCCAAUACAGAAAGCGCAAGCAUCAGUCCACACAUGCUUUCAGGAAGAGCAAAACCAUGGAUAUUCCUGGCUGCAAAAUUCUGUAAAGUAACGUACCUUCUGUAAAGGACUGUUAAGCAGAUAUACUUUUGCCUUUGGUUUCAGCUGGCUUAUCACGAAAGCCAGAGAUUUAGCCAAAUUCAAGCUAGAUCCUAACCUAGUUGUGCUUAGUGAGCUGGAGGAAAGAUGGUCCGGUGACUCGGGUGCUUGUCUAGGACUUACAUGAGCUGGGUUCAAUCGCAGAAUCACAGAAAAAUCAGGCUGGAAGGGACUGCACAAGGUCAUCCAGUCCAGCCCUCUGCUCAAGGCAGGACUGUCCCCGUCUGAACCGCUUCGUCCAAGCGUUUGUCCAACCUGCUCUUAAAAACCUCCAAGCACGCAGCUUCCACAACCUCUCUAGUUGCAUAACAAGAGUCUAUCACCGUCAUCUGCAGUCCCGAUUCAAGGGUGAUCUCUACCAUGGCUCACUGAUGGGUCCUGGGAUGACUUAAGAGCUCCGUCCUUGAGCAACAGAUCCGUGCACAGAAGUUGCAGGCCUUUCUGCAACAGAGAGCAGGCUGCAGGCUGAGAUUCCUCUCCUCUUCCUUCCUCUGCUCUCUCUUCUCUGUUUUGAUGGCAAAGUGCUUUACCUCGAAAUCGGCUACCGCUUGGUUGAGGUUGCAGCGCCAUUGGAGUCCAAUGGCAACCAGCACCUCCUGUUUCCUUGAGGGCUGCCUGCGAUGCGUCCUUGUAGUGUUUCCUCCAGCUACCAAGAGAUCCCAGGCCUUAGCUAAGCUGGGAGUAGAGCGCUUGUUUUGGGAGUUGAGAGUCAGGCAUGUGCACACAGCGUCCGGUCCAGCGAAGCCGGUGCUUGAGGAUCAUCAACUCCAUGCUGGUAACGCUGGCUUCAGCAAGGAUGCUGCGUCUGCGCGGCAAUCCUCCUCUUCGACGUGGAGGAUUUCCUGGAGGCAGCGCUGGUGAUAUCUCUGCAGGGUCCUGAGAUGAUGAUGGUAGGUCACCCAGGCUUCACCUCUAAGUCACCCGCAGAAGAGCAUGGGGAUGACGACUGCAUUGUACACCUGGAUCUCGGUGUCUUUCCAAAGAUUGGGAUGAAUAACGACAUGCUAAAGAAAUUUCCCAAAGGAGCCUAUCACUAUGCUCUUCAAGUAUUUGAAGACUUAUCAAAUCCUCCCCUCCAUCUUCUUGUCUCCAGACUAAACAAUCCCAAUUCUUCCAACCUUUCCUCAUGAGUCAUGAUUUCUACAACAGACUUCCUCAGCGAUAUGGGGGAAGUCUCGUAACACCCCUGUGAUUCAGCCCCUGACCUGUAAAAGGGAUGAACUGAACUUCUCCACAUCCAGCAGUGUCAGAAGGAUAAAGGCAUCAAAAGACUACGAGGCACUAAGCAGUUAUGGGAAUCGAUGACUUACACCUACUUAACAUUAGGAAAAACAUCUAAUUUAAAAUCCAGUGGGUUUUUUUUCAGAGACUGAGUUGCUUUAAGUACAUCCAGAGAAGAUUCAGAAGCAGUUGCAUCUGCUGACCCCCCUGGCACCCUAGUUGUUGUUCUCCCAAAAACAGCCCCUGUCCGGAGAAAAUCCCAACAAUUCAAAAGUUGCAUGUAGUCAUGGCCAUUGCCCCCCUCCUUUCUGCCUCUCCCUCCCAGAUGGGGAAACCACCUUAUAACCAAACCCCCCUAGAUGUAUAAAAUUACACUCAAAAAGCAAAAAAGGGCCUGGGGGGAGCUAAAACAACUUUGUCCUUGUGCACGGUUGGACUAAACCUUGAGCACUCACAGGAAUAGUCAAACAGAGCAGAGAAAAAGGCCUGGAGAAGUCAAAGACUGAGCCGCGCCAGAAUGAGGGCUUCAUGGAAACCCAACAGUGGCUCCAUCAGAGAAGCAGAUCAGUGUUUGAUUCCCUCUCCACCUGGACUUGGUGUAAGAGUGUGUGCAAAACUGGAUGAGGAGGAAUACAAAAGCUUUCUUUUCUCUAUACUAGCCUUUUCCCCCCGAUUGUGGGUGCUGCAGAAGCUUCGCUGGUGGGAACGCCAGCAGAGAAAAGCCUUUGGCGUUUUGACCAUUGCAUCAUUUAGAUUUGCUCCAAGUAGGGCGACGUGAUGUAUUAAAAUACUAACAAGCAGUCAGCAUGAAUGUAUUUAAGCCUUGAGCAUCAGGAGUGACAAAACCAAUAGAAAAUUAUUGGGGGUGGGAGAUUAGCGUGCAGGCACGACUUAAGUGGGCAGCUUGGCAGAAACCCUAUUUCAAGGGAAUAAGCUAGCAAGGCCCUAACGAAGCGAUUCUCGAUCAGGCCGCCGCAGCGCCCCGGGAUCCUUUCAAGGGUGUCCUGCAGUAGCACACAACGUUAGCAGUACUAUGUGUACAGAUGUGAUUUGCAAGAGAGUUUGAAGGGGACUUUGUAGUGUCAAAAAUACUCUGCCCUGUUGUGGUCUCUCCAAGCCCUUUGCUACAGGAGAAUUGCUCUAGUAUUUUUCUAUGCCAAAAACACAAGUGCAAACUAAAAGCCGGCAUUCUCCAAGGGGUGCCUCAAGGCUAUCAAAGAGUGCCUUGAGCCUAAAAAUGUUGAGACCUCGCUGCCCUAACAAAAGCUGUUCUCUUAGGAUGACAAGGUUCUUUGGGUUAAUCUGAGAUUUUAUUAGACCAACUUAAAUAGUUGGAAAUUUUUUUUUUUUAGCAAGCUUUCGGGUUUAAAAACCCGAUCACAUUCAACAUCCAGGCAAAUAAGUUUUCUUUGGUCCUUUAAACACCAUCAGACGUUUUGGAGACAAAUGUAUUAUCCUAGACCGUUCGCAAUGGCAGCACAAAUUUGUCUGUGUCCCGCUGUUGCAAAAAUUGCCAUGUAUUUAUGCCAUUUGUAUAGCACUGAUCGCAGAUGCACAAGGAGCAACAGGGCAGCCUUCAGCUGCAGCCCGUGCUUGGCUCUCUCUGCUGGGCAGGCCGACUGUGGUGUUGACUGAGGUCUGUGUUGUGUUUGAGAGGGGUUUUGGUAAAUGAUCUGUUCAGGAGGAAUUAGGCUGAGACCCAACUGAUCUCACAUAGACCACUGAAUAGUUAGCAGAUGAUGACAGCUUUUGGCUACAACCAACUCAGGGCAAAUCCGAACCAGAGACAUGAUGUUUUCAUAUCCCUUUGCAAAAUUAAGCCAAGCAGCCUAUUUAAUGUGGAAGCCUCCUAUUUACCUGCGACAAACAACUGGCCCAGAGUCCAUUUUAUAAGCUUCACUCCAGUGUUUAUAUGCAACAAAGUUAGCAGCACAACAGGUUCUGUUAAAAAAAUUAAGUCGAUUUAUUCUUCUUUUGUGGUGCUGAAACAGCUAAUACCCACAUUUGUCAUGUACAAUUCUGGAGGCUGCAGAGAAGGCAGGACCACUUCCACACUGGAAACAGGUCAAUAUUACAAACAGAUGAGAGACAAACACAUAUAUUGUACAAAGCCAUAGCAACCAGUGCAGAAUGAUAAAUCAGACUAACUAAGGUAAAAAAAAGUGCAGAGAGUCAGAAAAAUGAUAUCACUAGGCAGAUCUAUUUGGCUUUAUUCAUCCUACUGGGAGGAAAUAAGAAGUGUUUUAUAAAAGAGCUAGACAAAUCUCAUUUGUAUUCAAGGAAGUGGACUUUUACAGAAGAAUUUCCCUGUCUAAAGAGCACUGGAAAACAUGCACGUAAGGGUAGAGGUGCUUGGAAAGAGACAGUACCGUGGAGCCGGAGACUUGCAGACCAGAAGUAUUCGGAUGGAGAGGUCGUGGCUACAGCAGGACCCUAGGAGCCAAGACCUUCUGACACCAGACUGCAUGAAUUUAGUUAGUCAAGUCACUUAAUCACUGCGAGUCCCGAUUUCAAAAGAAAAAUUAAAAUGCCUGCCAGCCUCACAGGAUCAUGGUGACGAAGACUCUGGUGAUGCUUAUCGACCCCCUAGUCGUCAGUGUGGUAGAGGAGAUAUCUUUCAUUAGACCAACUAGACAGUUGCAAAAAGAAAAAAUGUCUUUAUUUGCAAGCUUUCGGGUAGACGCCACUAUCGACCACCAUGGGAUAUUCAGAUGAAUACCUACCUCUUACUCAGAGCUCUUCAUCGGCAUAGCUCAAAAUACUCUGUAGAGGUUAGUACUAUUAUCCACCAACUCAAGCGGAGAAACUGAGGCAUGCCGCAAUUUGUUGAGACCAGGCACUAAACCAGUGGCAAAACUGGGAACAGAAUCUAGGUUUUCUGAGUCUCAGUCCAGGGCUCUGGCCUUCACCUUGGGACUGGGUCCAGGGUACGUUUGGGCAAUCCUUAUUUUAGGGCUGCAUUUCAGACACUUCGAGUACCUGCAGCUUAACAAAGGUGUUCAGCGCCUUUGGGAAGAGAGAAAAAGCACCUCACCAGAGUGAAGCAGUUUCCUUCAUGGUGUUUCAAAUGGCACUCCCACAUCUUCUUACCUCCAACUCCAAGUCAGGAAAAGGCUUGGGGGAAAAGAAUCCAACACCUGGCCAUCCUUACCCAUCGCCACGCACAAGAGGCGAGAGGCACGCACAGCGAAGGGGAAGGAUGCUGUGAGCACAGAGAUCUGCUAAUAACCACUGGGCAGAGGUUCAUGAGGAUGACCUACUGCUAUCAACAUGUGAGCUUCGCUGUCUGGUUGAAGCAAUUCGAUAAAAGAUGCUUUUAAAAAGUUUAAUGAAACCCCAACAUUCAGUGGGACAAAAGCCAGAGAGACCUGACGGUUAGACUCACUCUGCCAUAUAAAAGUAGCUUUCCUCUUGAGCUCACCAGCAAAACCCAUGGUAGUCAUUAAUGCGGGGAGCUUCAUCUCCCUGGCUUAGCUCCAAUCAUCGUUUGCUUGUACAGCUCACGUCUUCUUCAUCCAGGAACCACUGAAUCAGUAGGUGAGCAAACUGUACACAUACCAGGGUGAAAUACUAAUCUUCAACAUUGAAAAUAACUGCAACUUGCCAAUAUCUCAUCCUUCAAACCAUGUGAAGGUAAGAAAAUCACAGAAAGAGAUGGGUGAGCGUGUUAUAAUGCACACAGGGCUCCCUGAGCUGAUGCUAAUACCAUAUUUUCCUGCAAACACUAAACCCCGGGAUAAGAGAUGAACCUAGUUGUGCGCAAUGAAGACAAAAAGAUCUUCCCUUACAGCAAGUGACUGAGUCGCAGCAGAGCCUACCCGCGGAGCCUGCCCACUGUCUGCUCCCUGCAGCUACCUCCUCUUGGGCCCAGCCAAAGCUUAAGCGACACGUUGCUGUUACCGUAUUUUCUUGCUUACAACACACAGCCCAAUUUCCAGCAGCUGGCUUUUCGGGGAAAAAGGUGAAUAUUGCAUUCAGGAAAUACAGUACUUUUGAAGUUAUCUUGACUUUAAAAACCCCCUAAUAUUCACUGUUUCCAGCUUCCAAGAUACCUAAUCCAGUGCAUGCUCUCCCUAGCUGUUUUCAGGUUACAUUUAUGAUGCACAAUCUACUGGCAGGUCUUUCCAAACUCCAACUGAAAGCAAAUGGUAAAAAGUACAACUCGCCUGUCUCAGGCCAAGAAAAAUAAAAACCGUGUAAGCUCA